This is a non-coding RNA of Stomoxys calcitrans (stable fly), 72 nucleotides long. The record is from Rfam. NCBI's taxonomy places the organism in Eukaryota, Metazoa, Arthropoda, Insecta, Diptera, Muscidae.
GUUAACGUAGCGCAGAGGUUAGCACAUCCGCCUACGACACUGAAAGCCUGGGUUCGAAUCCUAGCGAGAACA